CGCUGGCGGCAGGCCUAACACAUGCAAGUCGGACGGUAGCACAGAGGAGCUUGCUCCUUGGGUGACGAGUGGCGGACGGGUGAGUAAUGUCUGGGGAUCUGCCCGAUAGAGGGGGAUAACCACUGGAAACGGUGGCUAAUACCGCAUAACGUCGCAAGACCAAAGAGGGGGACCUUCGGGCCUCUCACUAUCGGAUGAACCCAGAUGGGAUUAGCUAGUAGGCGGGGUAAUGGCCCACCUAGGCGACGAUCCCUAGCUGGUCUGAGAGGAUGACCAGCCACACUGGAACUGAGACACGGUCCAGACUCCUACGGGAGGCAGCAGUGGGGAAUAUUGCACAAUGGGCGCAAGCCUGAUGCAGCCAUGCCGCGUGUAUGAAGAAGGCCUUCGGGUUGUAAAGUACUUUCAGCGGGGAGGAAGGCGAUAGGGUUAAUAACUCUGUCGAUUGACGUUACCCGCAGAAGAAGCACCGGCU
This 475-nucleotide ribosomal RNA is filed under the name uncultured bacterium. RNAcentral's name for it is "bacterial SSU rRNA". It matches the Rfam family "Bacterial small subunit ribosomal RNA", at positions 34 to 498 of the family's 1533-position model. The record is from RNAcentral.